UCCUGAGCUGUCAACCUCUAUCUCUGAGCCCUGUGGCUCUGCAUCCUGUCUCUCUUCUCUACUGAUUCCUGGAAUACAUGGAACUCUCCCAAAGACAUUAUUCUGUAUUCGUCCUCACAACUCCACAUGUUGAAACUGCAGGAUAUAUUCCUAGAAGUGGGACCAAAGAGGAUGUAAGGUUUUUAAUCGUCACUAACAGUUGCUUAUCACAAAGGAUGUGCUAAUUUAAAAGGUGGAAAAAUAUCAAUCCGACCCUGCUCUGAAGUUUCAUGAUUCUAGGAUGGAAUAAACUGCAAGUCCUCAAGAGACUGUGAAGAAGAGAAAAUUAGCAAACGAAUUUGCUUGUGGGCAAAUAUGGAAAUAUGCUAGGGGAAAGACGAUGAUUCUGUUAAAGAUGAUCUCUGAGCUCCUGUUUAAAUACAGAAGAAAUAAACUGAGAAUUGUCUGUUGACUGUAGCCCCCAAAAUACCAGGGUCACUCUGAUCAAAGACUAGUUAAAUGCUGGCUCUUGACACAGGCACGUAGUGAGUAUUCAAGCCAGGGUGUCAUGUGACCAAAGAGACAUGGGCACCUAGGACUCUUUGCCAGACUCUGGUUCCAUUCCACGAGGAAAGUGGUCACCAAACCCAUGAAAGUCAGAGAAGGACAACUGAAAUGGCCAAACUUCCAGCACACAGGGCCACUAUGAGAAUACAGACUCGAAAGAUUGUUUCUGAUGGCAGAAUGAACAAUCUCAAUGGACCCAACUCAACCCAUGCAAUAGCGACAGGAGAUGAAAUGUCUAUGACGUCACCACGAAUUAGAGGAAAUCUUUGUGAAGAGUAAUCAAGAUAAUGUAAGAAAAUAAGCAGAAGUAUUCACUACCACCUAUCCCAGGCAAAACUCACACAAGAGAUUUUAUAUUCUGAAAAAUACUCCAAAACAGACUUAGAGUAGUUACUGUUGAUCUUUCUCAUGAGUUAGUAAGAAAAACAGAAUACCUUGGAUCAAACUUCUAAGCUUUAAGGUUGGUGUCAUUCAUAAUCCUGCUGAAAACAGAAUACUGGGGUGAAUGGAAAGAAUUUAACACUUACUCCACCCAGUUCCUGGAGGAGAUAUAAUGAUGAGUUAUGUCAUAAGAAACAUAGUGAGGAGGGGUGUUAGCCCUCUCAGUGUGGUUUAAGUCAUGACCCAGAAAAGGGUUCAAAAACCUAGGAGGAAAGGGGAAAGAAAGGUUGAACAGAACCAAGAACUAGGAUCAUGCUACAAAUCAGGAUAGUGCCCAGAGCUGUCACAGGGUAAAAAGCAAAGAGGAAAGGGAGACAGAAUCUCAUGAUGAUAGCAGAGGGAAACAUCUGGAAAAUCACCCUUGCGCUUUUAUCAGAUCCACAUAAUGCUGAGGAUCACUAGGGUGAGGAAUUGGAUCAAAGUUUCAAAUAGCUCUAAAAUUCUAAUAUUUCAGUGUUCACAUGAAUAAAAGCAAAAAAAGUUCUAUUCCUUUAGAUCAGGAAUUCACAAGUGUUCUCUGUAAUGGGGCAGAUAGGAAAUAUUUUAGGCUCUGUCAGCCAUACGGGCUUUAUUUUAUAUUCUUCUUUAUUUGGUCUGUUUGUUUUACAGCUCUUUAUAAGUGGAAAAACUAUUCUUACCUCCCAGGCUGUACAAAAACAGGCUGUGGGCCAGCUGGCCCCAUGGGCCAUAGUUUGCCAAUCUCUGCUUUAGAUGACAAGGGAAAGUCUACAGACUAAGGAUGCCAUGCAAAACAUAAAAAGCUUUAAUGAAUCCACACUCAAAUUUAAAAUCACUCUACAACGCACAACUGGGGAACCACUAUUUGUAAAUGUGUGCGAUAAGCUCUAAGUGGCUGCCUUGUAAAUCUCACACCAAAAAAGUAAUCUGAAACCACCCGCUUCUGACGCAGAAAUAGCUGCUAAGUAUUCGUGUGACCUUGAACUAACAUCUGUGUUGAAAGAAAACAAUGAGAAAACAUCACUGUGUUGAAAUACUGGCUAGAGUCCAGCAAACACAAACUCAACAGGUUCAUAAAUCAAGGGAUCCUCUGCAAGGAAAACAUAUGUCUAUUCUAAAUAUUUAUAAAUUCUGAAUUUCUCUAGAACCAGAAACGACAGCAUAAAAUAAACACAUCUAAGUACCACCCCUCCUUUAUAAAGCUAUCCCUUUACUUACAGCUAUCAGAGACAGCGAACUACCAGCAGUUGAACUAAGAAAAAGGACUUUCCCAGAAAAAAGAAAAAUGUUAAACUUUUUAAGAGUAAAAUAAACUUUUAUGCUCAUAAACGCUAAAAGGAAAAUUUCAGUAGAAAUACGCAAAAUACUUCAGCACAGUCUAUGAUUAGAACCAAUUUAAUUUCUAGUUUCUUCUUAAAUAACUUUAAUUACCAAUAAUACAUGAGGUUCAAGUAUGCAGGACUAUUAUCUGAAAUCACGGAAUAGAAAGGAAAAAAAAAACUUUUGAUUCACGGACUGAUGAAAGGAGCAAACUCAAGAAGUACUUAGUGUUUAAAUAUUUUACACUUACUUUAUCCUCUGAAAUUGCUGUACUUUACUAAGAAGUGGCGAUAUGCACUCUAUUUGAGUAACUGACUGAGAACACUGGAACAUGGGCUAUCACCACAAAAGAGGAAAGAGCAAGGUAAAUAUGAACGCUUAAGCAUCUCUUUUGGGAAAAUGUUGUAUUUUAUUCUGUGGAGUGCUGGUAAACAAAAAAAUGUAAAGCUACGUAAGAGUGAACCUCCAAUGGAAAUGGAAGCCUUAGAGACUCGAAGACUUCCUUGUUCCUCAGAGUGAGGCAUUUCAAUAUUCAUAGGCACCCUAAGCAGUAAAUUAUUUGUAGGAAAAAGAAAUUCACUCUAAUUUUAACAACACAGUUUUACUUCUUAUGUAAUUAUAUACUCUGAGAUUUUACCAGAGAAAAUAUUUUAGUUGCAUAAAUUUAGCAAAUUUUCAAUUGAGAACAACCAGCACCUAAAUGGCUUAUUUAACAACUGGAAAACAUCUCAACCAUCUACGGUGAUUUAGACUUUUACCAGACUAAACCAAACCAGUUGCUAUCGAGUCAAUUUCAACUCAUGGUGACUCCCCAUGUGGAGAGCAGGACUAUACUCCACAGGGUUUUCAUGACUGUGACUUUUUAGAAGCAGAUCCAUUGAUUGCCAGGCCUUUCUUCCAAGGUGCCUCUGGGUGGGUUCAAACCACCAGCCUCUCAGUUAAUAGUUAAGUGCUUUACCAUUUGCACCACCUUCAAAUAUAUCAGAAUAUGGCAAACUUUAUUUAUAUAAAUUGAAAGGCAACCUCAAAUGUAAGCCAUCUUGUGACUGUGGUGUUUUCUAUGGCUUCUACUAUAGUUACCCAAAAUCAAUCUAAAAAGACUACCCCAUGCAGUUUCUUUCCAUUACAGAAAAAUCCCCUCGCCUCAGAUUCCGUGUAGGGUGUUAGAGUUAUACUUUGAAUCAGUAUCACCAAAUAUUUCUCCUUUCUGCCAAAGGGGUCACUUCUUCCAGAAAUACAUCCUUCAAUAUUACUUCCUGUAGAAAAGGAGGCAUCAGGAUUGGAGGAAGACUCAUUAACAACCUGCAAUAUGCAGAUGACAAAGCCUUGCUUGAUGGAAGUGAAGAGGACUUGAAGCACUUACUGAUGAA
Long non-coding RNA from Trichechus manatus latirostris (Florida manatee), 3635 nucleotides. RefSeq lists it as uncharacterized. The transcript is spliced from 3 exons. Lineage: Eukaryota; Metazoa; Chordata; Mammalia; Sirenia; Trichechidae. The record is from RefSeq and is a predicted model, not a curated record.